AGCUUCCUUUUCUCAGGGUUGUGCUACUCUCCAGUGUGCCUGCAGUGAGGACAGUACUGCUAACACCUAUGCAACUCACCCACAUCCACUAGAGCUUUGCCUUACAUUGGUGCAAUUUUUGGAAAA
Small nuclear RNA from Nycticebus coucang (slow loris), 126 nucleotides. RefSeq annotates it as U4atac minor spliceosomal RNA. NCBI's taxonomy places the organism in Eukaryota, Metazoa, Chordata, Mammalia, Primates, Lorisidae. The record is from RefSeq and is a predicted model, not a curated record. The transcript has a single exon.